AGAACUUAGCAGAGAUGCUUUGGUGCCUUUCGGGAACUCUGAGACAGGUGCUGCAUGGCUGUCGUCAGCUCGUGUUGUGAAAUGUUGGGUUAAGUCCCGCAACGAGCGCAACCCUUAUCCUUUGUGCCAGCGGUCCGGCCGGGAACUCAAAGGAGACUGCCAGUGAUAAACUGGAGGAAGGUGGGGAUGACGUCAAGUCAUCAUGGCCCUUACGAGUAGGGCUACACACGUGCUACAAUGGCGCAUACAAAGAGAAGCGACCUCGCGAGAGCAAGCGGACCUCAUAAAGUGCGUCGUAGUCCGGAUUGGAGUCUGCAACUCGACUCCAUGAAGUCGGAAUCGCUAGUAAUCGUGGAUCAGAAUGCCACGGUGAAUACGUUCCCGGGCCUUGUACACACCGCCCGUCACACCAUGGGAGUGGGUUGCAAAAGAAGUAGGUAGCUUAACCUUCGGGAGGGCGCUUACCACUUUGUGAUUCAUGACUGGGGUGAAGUCGUAACAAGGUAAGCGUAGUGCU
RNAcentral lists this ribosomal RNA (517 nucleotides) under uncultured bacterium. RNAcentral describes it as "bacterial SSU rRNA". It matches the Rfam family "Bacterial small subunit ribosomal RNA", at positions 992 to 1509 of the family's 1533-position model. The record is from RNAcentral.